AGUGAACGCUGGCGGUAGGCCUAACACAUGCAAGUCGAACGGCAGCACAGUAAGAGCUUGCUCUUACGGGUGGCGAGUGGCGGACGGGUGAGGAAUACAUCGGAAUCUACUUUUUCGCGGGGGAUAACGUAGGGAAACUUACGCUAAUACCGCAUACGACCUACGGGUGAAAGCAGGGGAUCUUCGGACCUUGCGCGAUUGAAUGAGCCGAUGUCGGAUUAGCUAGUUGGCGGGGUAAAGGCCCACCAAGGCGACGAUCCGUAGCUGGUCUGAGAGGAUGAUCAGCCACACUGGAACUGAGCCACGGUCCAGACUCCUACGGGAGGCAGCAGUGGGGAAUAUUGGACAAUGGGCGCAAGCCUGAUCCAGCCAUACCGCGUGGGUGAAGAAGGCCUUCGGGUUGUAAAGCCCUUUUGUUGGGAAAGAAAAGCAGCAGGUUAAUACCCCGCUGUUCUGACGGUACCCAAAGAAUAAGCACCGGCUAACUUCGUG
RNAcentral lists this ribosomal RNA (492 nucleotides) under uncultured bacterium. RNAcentral's name for it is "partial 16S ribosomal RNA". It matches the Rfam family "Bacterial small subunit ribosomal RNA", at positions 29 to 507 of the family's 1533-position model. The record is from RNAcentral.